UACGGAGGGUGCAAGCGUUAUCCGGAUUCACUGGGCUUAAAGGGCGCGUAGGUGGCUUUGUAAGUCAGUGGUGAAAUCUUAGAGCUUAACUCUAAAACUGCCAUUGAUACUGCUUAGCUUGAAUCAAGUAGAGGUGGAUGGAAUAUUACAUGUAGCGGUGAAAUGCUUAGAUAUGUAAUAGAACACCGAUUGCGAAGGCAGUUCACUAUGCUUGUAUUGACACUGAGGCACGAAAGCGUGGGGAUCAAACAGG
This 253-nucleotide ribosomal RNA is filed under the name uncultured bacterium. RNAcentral's name for it is "partial 16S ribosomal RNA". It matches the Rfam family "Bacterial small subunit ribosomal RNA", at positions 524 to 776 of the family's 1533-position model. The record is from RNAcentral.